RNAcentral lists this long non-coding RNA (711 nucleotides) under Rattus norvegicus (Norway rat). RNAcentral's name for it is "long non-coding RNA NONRATT012575". The record is from RNAcentral. Lineage: Eukaryota; Metazoa; Chordata; Mammalia; Rodentia; Muridae.
AAUCAGGCCCGACUAGACCAAGUCAUUGCUGGGGCAAUCCACAAGUCAGUUCGAAGAGAGCUUGGACUGCCAGAAGGUAGCCCUGCCCCAGGCUUAUUGCACUUGCUGACACUGAUAAAAGAUAAGGAGGCAGCAGAGGAAGAAGUCCUUCUUCAGGCUUAAUUAGAAGGACAUUUCACUUGACCCAAGACCAGCAAGGCUGUCAUGAGCAGAACAUGAUGGAGGAGCUCAUUGAAGUGAUCAGCCCAUCCCCACUUUGUGCUGCCAAAGUAACUUGCCCUUUGUCGUGUUGUUCACCCCACUGAAUGUCUCCCCAGUGUUUUACUGGUACAAAUGAUGUCAUUCUACACUGGUAAUUAUUUAAAUCAAAAGGUCAUCUAGUACAGUGUUCUGCAAAGCCGGAGUUUAUAUGCAUGUUUAAUAGUCUUAUGUGAUGGUGCUGUCCGUUAAAAAUAAUUUUCAGGUGUUGCCCACAUUUAUGCUGAAGACCCUGAGCCAAGGCUAGCUAAGUUAUUUAAAGUUUCUUUAUUAUAAAUCAGUUAUUGAUUCUGUGCAAUCAAAAAUCACAACUGAGUGCUGUGGUCAAUUCUACAACUAUCUUUAGGUUUGUGAUAUAUCUGAUGUGUUGCCAAAGGGUCUGCUUCUAAAUGUCAUUUUCUUAGAGUCAUAGUAUAAAUAAAGAAAUGCUAAUAAUAAAAAAAAGAAAGAAAA